Molecule: long non-coding RNA, 239 nt
Organism: Oncorhynchus nerka (sockeye salmon)
Lineage: Eukaryota; Metazoa; Chordata; Actinopteri; Salmoniformes; Salmonidae
Exons: 3
Source: RefSeq, a predicted model, not a curated record
UACAGAGCAGUGCAGUCCGUUCCAGUACAUCAACAGCUGUUUUCAGUGGCAGAGUUUCCAGAGGAGUCUCAUAGCCUUCCUGAUAUUCCUGCUGGCGGUGUGGCAUUGGGAGUUCUACAUGUUGCCUCUCUGUCUGGUUCUGCUCAUCACAUGGAACUAUCUUCAGAUUGCAUCUGGACGGGCCAACCAGGACCUGGAUAAUAUGGACUUGGGCGAUGAAGAUGAUGAAGAUGAAAAGG